This 272-nucleotide ribosomal RNA is filed under the name uncultured bacterium. Its description in RNAcentral is "partial small subunit ribosomal RNA". It matches the Rfam family "Bacterial small subunit ribosomal RNA", at positions 26 to 285 of the family's 1533-position model. The record is from RNAcentral.
AGAAUCAACGCUGGCGGCGUGCCUAACACAUGCAAGUCGAACGCGAAAGUCCCGCAAGGGACAAGUAGAGUGGCAAACGGGUGAGUAACGCGUGGGCGACCUACCUCUGAGUGGGGGAUAACCUUCCGAAAGGAGGGCUAAUACCGCAUGACAUCCCGUGUUUGGAUACACGGACAUCAAAGCCGGGGAUCGCAAGACCUGGCGCUUGGAGAGGGGCCCGCGUCCGAUUAGCUAGUUGGUGGGGUAACGGCCCACCAAGGCUCCGAUCGGUA